UCGAGCGAUGAGGCUCCCUUCGGGGGGUACAUCAGCGGCGAACGGGUGAGUAACACGUGGGUGACCUUCCCCAAAGACGGGGAUAACGCUUGGAAACAGGGGCUAAUACCCGAUGUGCUCAGCAGUUCACUCUGUUGAGUAAAGCUAUGGCGCUUUGGGAUGGGCCCGCGGCCCAUCAGCUAGUUGGUAGGGUAAAGGCCUACCAAGGCUAAGACGGGUAGGGGGCGUGAGAGCGCGAUCCCCCACACUGGCACUGAGACACGGGCCAGACUCCUACGGGAGGCAGCAGUGAGGAAUAUUGCGCAAUGGACGAAAGUCUGACGCAGCGACGCCGCGUGGGCGAUGAAGGCCUUCGGGUCGUAAAGCCCUUUUCUGGGGGAAGAGAAAGGACGGUACCCCAGGAAUAAGCCCCGGCUAACUACGUGCCAGCAGCCGCGGUAAAACGUAGGGGGCAAGCGUUAUCCGGAUUUACUGGGCGUAAAGAGCGUUGAGGCGGAUUAGUAAGUUGGGCG
Molecule: ribosomal RNA, 512 nt
Filed under: uncultured organism
Description: bacterial SSU rRNA
Rfam family: Bacterial small subunit ribosomal RNA
Source: RNAcentral